Oncorhynchus mykiss (rainbow trout) is the source of this 1669-nucleotide non-coding RNA. The record is from RefSeq and is a predicted model, not a curated record. Lineage: Eukaryota; Metazoa; Chordata; Actinopteri; Salmoniformes; Salmonidae.
GGUUUGGACUUGGGCUCGUUCGACAUUGCAGCCGACAGUGCAGGUGGCUGCUACCUGACUAAUUUACAAAUCACCUUGCAUCAUAAAUAACUACUUGUUAUUAUUUAUAAAUCAGUCAGCCAGUCACCGUUUACCCACAACGCAGCAUGGAUUUGAUGCUCUCGAUCACGGCCAGUGGUUUAAUAUAUGACAUAAUGGCUUCGCUGCUACGUGUGGGGGAUGUCAUCUAUAACAAUGUGGCUGUUCGAAAUUCUGUGUCGCUCAAAGCUUUGAGUAAUUAACCUUUUUUUUUUACACAAUUGGCUGGAAAGAGCCAAUGCUCCAGGAAGCUUUGUUUCCCCAUCACUGCUUUUCAGCAUGUUUUCAGUGAAUUAGACUACAGGAGUUUUGUAACUUUUUCCACCUUGGCUUACUGUUAGUUGGAUUCUAACUGGUCUCCGGUAGUUGGUCUCGCUGACCAUAACCGUGCUGGUUGGCUACACUGGUUAGGCUAAUAGCUAGUUGGCUAAAUAGCUGAUGUUAGCUGGCUGGCUAAGAUAACUGCAUAUAGCUAACAUUCUUUGAUUGUUGGUUAGAUGGUGUUAUGUAUUUCCAAAACAUUGGUUUACUUUAAUCACUCAAGUCAUGAGCGCAAAUUAUUGGUUUAGUAUGAAGUUCUACAUUUUAAGUUAUUUCUGUUGUAGUUUACAUCACAGGGAAUAGGCUGGUCCUCCAUAUUACUUCACACCUGACUUUAUCAUUCUUCUGAAUUCUGAUUGGUUUUAUGUAACAACUCCAAAAAUAGAACUGUGAGGUGUAACUUUGCAAUGGGACUUAAAACAUUUAUAUAUUUUAUUUGCUCUUUUAAACUUAACCAUUUUAUUUAUCUCCGUAGCCCACUCACUUUACAUUUUUAGAUAAUAAAGCAUUUGACCUUUCCACUGUGUUAACAAUGGAGGAUUGGUUGAUUUUCAGUUUAAGUAUUUAAGAUGAUUGACGAGAAAAGUAUCGUCCAACCAUCGGGUAACUUGCUUCAUGGACAUCAAAGGUGAGGGUGAAAUUCAGAUGUUCACUGCUUGUAUUGAUGAAGGAGUGGAAUCGAUGAAGUUCCUCUGCUGUCCUCUGGAAUAGAAGGAACACGUCAUCAAAGGAAGCCAUUUACAGAGCCUGAUGAGCCUUCCUCUCCUCUGAGGACCCAGUGAGGGUGGAGCUCAGUCAGAGAGCUGUUGAGGGACUGGUUAGGAAGAACACUUCUACAGCCAGAGAGGUCACACAUGGUUUGGAUGGGGCAGUCAAGAAAUGGAACAGCAAGGCCACAGAACAUGACAUAAGCAGAGCUGUGGGAGACCACCUCAAGCCCCUGGUAGAGCUGGGGGUGGUGUUUUACCAAUCCACCACGCCUUCAGCAGGCUUGAAUAGUGGAAUUGAUCUGUUUGAUCCAUUUGUUUGUUUCAGUUUUCAGUAGUUGAAUCCUGUGAUGUAUUGUUCAUUUCAACAUUUUUCAUUUUCAACAAAUGCACUGGGUUGGUUGAAAAGUGAUACUAAACUUACAUACCAUGCACUAUAUUGACAUAUUGAAAGAUAUACUAAAUUUAUACUGUUUUUCAUACUAAGAUGGACCAUGCACUAUAUUGACAAGGUAGAAGAUAGCAUGAAAAACAGUAUAAAUUCAGUCUGAGAUGGACCAAGA